This 67-nucleotide transfer RNA is filed under the name Batillaria sp. FK-2009. RNAcentral's name for it is "tRNA-Gly". The record is from RNAcentral. Lineage: Eukaryota; Metazoa; Mollusca; Gastropoda; Batillariidae.
AUCUCUUGAGUAUGAGAAAGUACAGUUGCCUUCCAAGCAGAAAGAUUAAGAAAAACUUAAAAGAGAU